CAGUCGAGCCAGCGAGGAAUUCGUCACGAAAUCGGGUUGGGAUAAACAGCUGGUGAAGGAAUCUUACGAAUGGGUUGAAUCUAAAAUCAUUACUAAACCUGAGCUGACAACGUGGCAAGCCGCUGUCAGGGCUGGAUAAACCUGAGCUGACAACGUGGCAAGCCGCUGUCAGGUCUGGAUUCCUUGAAGCGGGAAUCCUUCCCGACAACGGAUUCACCUGGGAACACAUCCAAGGAACGAAGAUUGGCGGGUCGACCUUUGAUUCACAGAACAAGAGACAUACCUCUGCUGAUCUUCUGCAGAUGG
This 306-nucleotide long non-coding RNA is filed under the name Linum usitatissimum (flax). Its description in RNAcentral is "long non-coding RNA (LUSI_LNC004829)". The record is from RNAcentral. Lineage: Eukaryota; Viridiplantae; Streptophyta; Magnoliopsida; Malpighiales; Linaceae.